Molecule: ribosomal RNA, 468 nt
Filed under: uncultured bacterium
Lineage: Bacteria
Description: partial 16S ribosomal RNA
Rfam family: Bacterial small subunit ribosomal RNA
Source: RNAcentral
GACGAACGCUGGCGGCGUGCUUAACACAUGCAAGUCGAACGGAAAGGCCCUGCUUUUGUGGGGUGCUCGAGUGGCGAACGGGUGAGUAACACGUGAGUAACCUGCCCUUGACUUUGGGAUAACUUCAGGAAACUGGGGCUAAUACCGGAUAGGAGCUCCUGCUGCAUGGUGGGGGUUGGAAAGUUUCGGCGGUUGGGGAUGGACUCGCGGCUUAUCAGCUUGUUGGUGGGGUAGUGGCUUACCAAGGCUUUGACGGGUAGCCGGCCUGAGAGGGUGACCGGCCACAUUGGGACUGGAAUACGGCCCAGACUCCUACGGGAGGCAACAGUGGGGAAUAUUGCACAAUGGGCGGAAGCCUGAUGCAGCAACGCCGCGUGCGGGAUGACGGCCUUCGGGUUGUAAACCGCUUUCGCCUGUGACGAAGCGUGAGUGACGGUAAUGGGUAAAGAAGCACCGGCUAACUACGUG